UCCUGGUUAGUUCAUUUGGUAGAGUGUUCCACUGGAAAUGUAGAGUCCCUGGUUCGAUGCCAGGACCAGGCG
RNAcentral lists this transfer RNA (72 nucleotides) under Ixodes scapularis (black-legged tick). It matches the Rfam family "tRNA". Rfam says of the family: Transfer RNA (tRNA) molecules are approximately 80 nucleotides in length. Their secondary structure includes four short double-helical elements and three loops (D, anti-codon, and T loops). Lineage: Eukaryota; Metazoa; Arthropoda; Arachnida; Ixodida; Ixodidae. The record is from Rfam by way of RNAcentral.